AGGACUAACGCUGGCGGCGUGCCUAACACAUGCAAGUCGAACGAGAGUAGCAAUACUCUAGUGGCAGACGGGUGAGUAACACGUGGUCAACCUACCUUUAAGUGGGGGAUAACUAGCCGAAAGGUUAGCUAAUACCGCAUACGAUCUUCGCGUGGCAUCACAUGAAGAUGAAAGGAGCAAUCCGCUGAAAGACGGGACCGCGUCCCAUUAGCCAGUUGGUGGGGUAACGGCCUACCAAAGCAACGAUGGGUAGCUGGCUUGAGAGAGCGACCAGCCACACUGGGACUGAGACACGGCCCAGACUCCUACGGGAGGCAGCAGUGAGGAAUUUUCCGCAAUGGGCGAAAGCCUGACGGAGCGACGCCGCGUGUGGGAUGAAGGCCUUCGGGUCGUAAACCACUGUCGAAGGGAAGAUAUUGACGGUACCUUGGAGGAAGCCCCGGCUAACUACGUGCCAGCAGCCGC
This 465-nucleotide ribosomal RNA is filed under the name uncultured bacterium. Its description in RNAcentral is "SSU rRNA". It matches the Rfam family "Bacterial small subunit ribosomal RNA", at positions 26 to 518 of the family's 1533-position model. The record is from RNAcentral.